GUGACCUCCACAGUGCUGCAGAACUUACUGACUCAUUAGUGCACUGAAUUUCAUGGAUUUACAAGCAUCUGCUGUCUUCUGUUAGACCACAGUGCCAUCAAGUGGAUUCUCUAGUGAAUAAAUCAAAUGUAUAUGAAACGUCUUUGAUUCUACAUUGUCAGUAGGAGGAGCUAGAGUAUUAAACUCAGGAUUUGAUUAUGAAUCCUCAGGAUAAAACAUGAUACUACCAUGAAGAUCAUAGCCAGUUGAUGCUGCACUUUUCAUCAGCAGUUGGUGUUUCUUCUACACAUCCUGAAAUCUACAAUGUUGUUCUGUUCACUAUUACUCUUCUUUGACUUGAUAGGUGUCAGUUCGGGAGAGGAAUUAAUGCCCUACACUGAUGUAGAAGUGGCUUCAGAAAGGGACAGAGUUACUCUCUCUUGUAACUACACCUCUGUUAAUACUCUUCUAUGGUAUCGACAAUAUCCCAAAUCAGCACCACAGUUACUGGUUAUGGAGUACGCAGAUGUUACACCAGGGUUCACUCUAAAUCAUGACAAAAAUGCCAAACGUACGGAUCUGAAGAUCUCCUCUGCUGAAGUGACAGACUCUGCUAUGUACUUCUGUGCUCUGAGGCCCACAGUGACAGGAAACCCAGAAACACUGUACAAAAACCUAACAUCGCCUGAGAGAACAUUUCUGCUCUGUAGUUGAAGGUUUUAUUUGACAAUAAUGCCAUCAAGUGGAGUCAACAUGCACCCAUUAUAUUAUGUCAAGAGGAGGAACAUAGUGUUAUACAUAACAUGUCAUGAGUGGAACUGAUUCAACCAGAGAGUGAAUGUUCCAAGAGAAGAUCAUUAGAGAAGUCUCUGUCUAACACCCAGUGACUAUGAUGCUGCUCUAUUCAGUCUUUAUUAUGUGCACUUGUAGGUAAGAAUUCACUCUCCAUUUACCGAAUGUGUACUAACAGAAUGUACACUGUUAAGUAUUCAUUACAAUACAGUAUUAUCAAUAUCAAGAGGUAAUACACUUUUAAACAAAAAGUGUGGAUAUACUGUGCACUGU
RNAcentral lists this long non-coding RNA (1044 nucleotides) under Oncorhynchus kisutch (coho salmon). Its description in RNAcentral is "lncRNA (ENSOKIG00005025241.1)". Lineage: Eukaryota; Metazoa; Chordata; Actinopteri; Salmoniformes; Salmonidae. The record is from RNAcentral.